GAUGAAGAACGUAGCGAAAUGCGAUAAGUAAUGCGAAUUGCAGAAUUCAGUGAAUCAUCGAAUCUUUGAACGCACAUUGCGCCCAUCAGUAUUCUGUUGGGCAUGCCUGUCCGAGCGUCAUUUCAACCCUCAGGGCCCGUUCGCGGGAACUGGUGUUGGGGAUCGGCCUCCCCCCGGAGGCCGGCCCCGAAAUGCAGUGGCGGCUCUACCGCGAUCUCCUCUGUGUAGUAGCGAUACCUCGCAGCUGGAUAGUGGUGGUGCCACGCCGUAAAAUCCCAACUUUACCAAGGUUGACCUCGGAUCAGGUAGGAAUACCCGCUGAACUUAAGCAUAUCAAUAAGCGGAGGA
Molecule: unclassified non-coding RNA, 348 nt
Filed under: soil metagenome
Description: partial contains 5.8S ribosomal RNA, internal transcribed spacer 2, and large subunit ribosomal RNA
Rfam family: 5.8S ribosomal RNA (bases 1-120)
Source: RNAcentral